GGGGUUUUUGGGGGGUUCUGCAGGGCCCCUGAGGACCCUGGGGGGGUCCUGGGGGGAUGUUGGGUCACUCAGUUCAGUUUGAGGGUCCCAC
Molecule: non-coding RNA, 91 nt
Organism: Turdus rufiventris (rufous-bellied thrush)
Lineage: Eukaryota; Metazoa; Chordata; Aves; Passeriformes; Turdidae
Source: the annotation of a GenBank genome assembly